This 115-nucleotide ribosomal RNA is filed under the name uncultured bacterium. RNAcentral's name for it is "partial 16S ribosomal RNA". It matches the Rfam family "Bacterial small subunit ribosomal RNA", at positions 1355 to 1482 of the family's 1533-position model. The record is from RNAcentral.
UACCACGUUGAAUACGUUCCCGGGUCUUGUACACACCGCCCGUCACACCACGAAAGUUGGGGGGUACCCGAAGUGCUUAUUUUUGAGCCCUAAGGUAAACUCAGCGAUUGGGGUG